UGGGGAAUCUUGCGCAAUGCGCGAAAGCGUGACGCAGCAACGCCGCGUGGGGGAAGAAGGCCUUCGGGUUGUAAACCCCUUUCAGGAGGGACGAAGGUCGGGCCGUUAAUAGCGGUUCCGACUGACGGUACCUCCACAAGAAGCCCCGGCUAACUACGUGCCAGCAGCCGCGGUAAUACGUAGGGGGCAAGCGUUGUCCGGAAUCAUUGGGCGUAAAGAGCGUGUAGGCGGUCCGGUAAGUCCGCUGUGAAAGUCAAGGGCUCAACCCUUGAAUGCCGGCGGAUACUGUCGGGCUAGAGUCCGGAAGAGGUGAGUGGAAUUCCUGGUGUAGCGGUGAAAUGCGCAGAUAUCAGGAGGAACACCUAUGGCGAAGGCAGCUCACUGGGACGGUACUGACGCUGAGACGCGAAAGCGUGGGGAGCAAACAGG
Molecule: ribosomal RNA, 429 nt
Filed under: uncultured bacterium
Lineage: Bacteria
Description: bacterial SSU rRNA
Rfam family: Bacterial small subunit ribosomal RNA
Source: RNAcentral